UGGGGAAUAUUGGACAAUGGGCGGAAGCCUGAUCCAGCAACGCCGCGUGAGGGAUGACGGCCUUCGGGUUGUAAACCUCUUUCACCGAUGACGAAGCGCGAGUGACGGUAGUCGGAGAAGAAGCACCGGCCAACUACGUGCCAGCAGCCGCGGUAAUACGUAGGGUGCGAGCGUUGUCCGGAAUUAUUGGGCGUAAAGGGCUCGUAGGCGGUUUGUCGCGUCGGGAGUGAAAACCCAGGGCUUAACCCUGGGCUGGCUUCCGAUACGGGCAGACUAGAGGUAUGCAGGGGAGAACGGAAUUCCUGGUGUAGCGGUGAAAUGCGCAGAUAUCAGGAGGAACACCGGUGGCGAAGGCGGUUCUCUGGGCAUUACCUGACGCUGAGGAGCGAAAGUGUGGGGAGCGAACAGG
RNAcentral lists this ribosomal RNA (409 nucleotides) under Bacillota bacterium. Its description in RNAcentral is "Firmicutes bacterium partial 16S ribosomal RNA". It matches the Rfam family "Bacterial small subunit ribosomal RNA", at positions 355 to 776 of the family's 1533-position model. The record is from RNAcentral. Lineage: Bacteria; Bacillati; Bacillota.